Corapipo altera (White-ruffed manakin) is the source of this 336-nucleotide long non-coding RNA. RefSeq lists it as uncharacterized. NCBI's taxonomy places the organism in Eukaryota, Metazoa, Chordata, Aves, Passeriformes, Pipridae. The transcript is spliced from 3 exons. The record is from RefSeq and is a predicted model, not a curated record.
CCUGUGCCCAUGGGGAGGUGCAACCAAUCCACAGGACGGAGAGAACGGAGGCUCAGCGGGCAAAUCUCACAUUCAGCUGAGAACAUCCUCAGAGCACAUUUCAGUGGGAUACUCAAAGAAGAGCCUCCUGCAAUGCCCUGACUCAGAGCACAUCUCAAAAUGACUCCAGGAACAGCCUGGAUCCAAAAGUCAGAAAGUUACCAGGAAAACAAAGAAGCUGUUCAGUGAUGAACCAACAUUAUCAUCUGCUCCACAGAAUUUCUGCUGCUGUCCCGGACUGGUGGAACACAAGGAGCCCAAUCCCACUUGGAAACUAUUUUCAAGGUCUGAAACUGA